UUUUUGUUUUUUUUUAAUAUGCUAUCCAGCAGUUAUUCUUUAAAAAUUUAAUUUUAUUGAAGUAUAGUUGAUUUACAAUGUCUGUUAGUUUCGGGUCUAUAGCACAGUGACUCAGUUAUAUGUAUGCGUGUGUGUGUGUGUGUGUGUGUAUAAAACACAGAUAUGUGUGUGUGUGUGUGUGUAUUUUAUGUGUUUAAAAUCUGUUCAAUUCUUUUCCCUUAUAGGUUUUUACAAAAUACUGAGUAUAGUUCCCUGUGCUAUUCAAUAGGUCCUUAUUGGUUAUCUAUUUUAUAUAUCGUAACUUGUAUAUGUUAAUCCCAAGCUCUUAAUUUAUCCUUCCCCCUUUCCCCUUUGGUAAACGUAAAUUUAUUUUCUAUGUCUGUACAUCUGUUUCUGUUUGCUAAAUGAGAGUUGACAUUUUUACCGCUCUGAUUGGCUCAUUAUUUACAGAGAUAUCUACAUGAUUUCCCUUUUCUCUGAUAUUUUAUUCAUUUUCAGUAAUUUCUUCUUAAAUAAACAAAAAGUUCUUAUAUAAAAUGGAACAUACUGGGAAGAACGAUUCAAUGGUCAUAGCAUGGGCCAACAAAAAAUGGUAGCUCUCAUCCAUUUAGUCUAUUGAUGAGCCCUGCAGAGCCUGUUCAAGGUGUAUUCCCAUGUAGGACCCAGACUUCCUUGACCUUUGAAGUUCAUUGAUCUUUUAGUCUUGAUGUAAGUAAAUCUCACACUGAACUUCAAUGAAUUUUUAAAUAUCGAAUAUAUUCAUAGGCUGCCCAUACAGAAAAGGAAGUUUCUGGAAAACCAUGCUUAAAGAGACUCUCUAUGAGAAUCCUUUAAGAGUUUAAUAAUAAAAAUCAUUCUGAACAUUUACGUAAAACUCCUGAAAGCAGGCAUGAAAGGAGACCUUUAACCAACUAGUAGAACUUUCACUUUAAUUGAUCUGUAUUUCAGAUGAGGAAUUAGCAAAAAAAAAAAAAACCAAAAACCUAAAAACCCAGUCCCUGAUGCAAAGUCAAAUGAGGCUUUCAUGGCUAAAACAACAAACAACUUUCAGUAAUUCUUGAGUAGGGAAAAUGAUUUGCUUGAGUUAAGACCAUAUUCUUACUUAGCAGUGAAGGGAAGAAAGUAGGCAAUACUUUUUGCUUAUCUUUUCUUCCCUUUAGAAAUGGAGAAAACUCACCAAGGAAGAGAGGGCAAAUGUAUCCCUGAGAAAGGCAGUGCUACCUACUUAGCCCCAGAUGCAGCUGGAGGGGCUCGCAUGGAUGUCCAGGGCAUACAGCACGUUGAGGCUGAGUUCUGCUCCAACUUCCCACAUACUUCCAAGGCUAAAUUUGGGUUUGAGUUAAUCCUACCACUUUCUUUUCCAAAUCCUGUCCCAGAUUAAUAUUGUCACAGCAUCGCCCUCUCCAACCACCAAUGAUUUCUACCUUAGUAACAACAUUCCACAGUUCUCAAGAGUGACUGAGCCUUGAGCUGGACCAUACCACUGCGUUGCAUCAUGACAGCGAGAUGUGGGGACACCUCUCAGUCCGUGGGCUCCAAUGUGUCAGCUGCUGCACCUUUUACCCAACUGCUGCCUGUGGGUCAAAUGAACCAAAGUCACUCCUUCUAUCAGGGCAAGUCUUCACAAGUAUUUUCCUACUAAGUCUUUUCAUCUCUAAGAUUAUACUAGAGAAGCCAAAUGAAAUUACAAUUAAGAUCAUCAUCACUAAAUUCUCAAGAUUAAGUAGACUCCUUCUUUUUGUGGNUCCAUGUUAAAAAAAAAAUCAUCUGGGGAGUUCCCAUUGUGGCACAGUGGACAUGAACCUGACUAGUAUCCAUGAGGAUGUGGGUUCAAUCCCUGGCCUCUCUCACUGGGUCAGGGAUCUGGUGUGGCAGUGAGUGGUGGUGUAGGUUGCAGACAUGGCUCAGAUCUCAAGUUGCUGUGGCCGUGAUGUAGGCUGGCAGCUGUAGCUUCAUUUGGACCCCUAGCUUGGGAACUUCCAUACACUGCAGGUGCAGCCCUAAAAAGAAAAAAAAAAAA
RNAcentral lists this long non-coding RNA (2020 nucleotides) under Sus scrofa (pig). RNAcentral's name for it is "lncRNA (ENSSSCG00015007424.1)". The record is from RNAcentral. Lineage: Eukaryota; Metazoa; Chordata; Mammalia; Artiodactyla; Suidae.